Molecule: ribosomal RNA, 253 nt
Filed under: uncultured bacterium
Lineage: Bacteria
Description: partial 16S ribosomal RNA
Rfam family: Bacterial small subunit ribosomal RNA
Source: RNAcentral
UGCGUAGGGUGCAAGCGUUAAUCGGAAUUACUGGGCGUAAAGCGUGCGCAGGCGGUGAUGUAAGACAGGUGUGAAAUCCCCGGGCUUAACCUGGGAACUGCAUUUGUGACUGCAUCGCUGGAGUGCGGCAGAGGGGGAUGGAAUUCCGCGUGUAGCAGUGAAAUGCGUAGAUAUGCGGAGGAACACCGAUGGCGAAGGCAAUCCCCUGGGCCUGCACUGACGCUCAUGCACGAAAGCGUGGGGAGCAAACAGG